GGCGGAUCCGCGGCCGGCUGCAGAGUUUGAUCCUGGCUCAGAGCGAACGCUGGCGGCGUGCCUAACACAUGCAAGUCGAGCGGACUAUAGGAGAGGAAACUCUUCUUAUAGUUAGCGGCGAACGGGUGAGUAACACGUGGGUAACCUACCCUUAGACGGGGGAUAACUCAAGGAAACUUGAGCUAAUACCCUAUAUGGCCCCGGGCUGAAAGGCUUGUGGUAAAAGGAGGGAUCCCUCUAAGGGUGGGCCCGCGGCCUUUCAGGUGGUUGGUUGGGUAAUGGCCUUCCCGCCUUUGGCGGGUUGCCGCGCUGAGAGGCUGGCCGGCCCCCCUGGGGCUGGGGCGCGGCCCCGACUCCUUCGGGAGGCCGCCGUGGGGGAUCUUGGGCCAUGGGCGGCGGCUGACCCCGCGACGCCGCGUGGGGGACGAGGCCUUCGGGU
This 439-nucleotide ribosomal RNA is filed under the name uncultured bacterium. RNAcentral describes it as "bacterial SSU rRNA". It matches the Rfam family "Bacterial small subunit ribosomal RNA", at positions 1 to 423 of the family's 1533-position model. The record is from RNAcentral.